AGUGAACGCUGGCGGUAGGCCUAACACAUGCAAGUCGAACGGCAGCACAGUAAGAGCUUGCUCUUACGGGUGGCGAGUGGCGGACGGGUGAGGAAUACAUCGGAAUCUACUUUUUCGUGGGGGAUAACGUAGGGAAACUUACGCUAAUACCGCAUACGACCUACGGGUGAAAGCAGGAGAUCUUCGGACCUUGCGCGAUUGAAUGAGCCGAUGUCGGAUUAGCUAGUUGGCGGGGUAAAGGCCCACCAAGGCGACGAUCCGUAGCUGGUCUGAGAGGAUGAUCAGCCACACUGGAACUGAGACACGGUCCAGACUCCUACGGGAGGCAGCAGUGGGGAAUAUUGGACAAUGGGCGCAAGCCUGAUCCAGCCAUACCGCGUGAGUGAAGAAGGCCUUCGGGUUGUAAAGCCCUUUUGUUGGGAAAGAAAAGCAGCAGAUUAAUACCCCGCUGUUCUGACGGUACCCAAAGAAUAAGCACCGGCUAACUUCGUG
Molecule: ribosomal RNA, 492 nt
Filed under: uncultured bacterium
Lineage: Bacteria
Description: partial 16S ribosomal RNA
Rfam family: Bacterial small subunit ribosomal RNA
Source: RNAcentral